UACGGAGGAUGCGAGCGUUAUCCGGAUUUAUUGGGUUUAAAGGGUGCGUAGGCGGCUUUUUAAGUCAGCGGUGAAAUUUUGCAGCUUAACUGUAACAGUGCCGUUGAUACUGGGGAGCUAGGAUUUGGUUGCUGUGGGUGGAAUGUGUGGUGUAGCGGUGAAAUGCUUAGAGAUCACACAGAAUAUCGAUUGCGAAGGCAGCUUACUAAUCCAUCAUUGACGCUGAGGCACGAAAGCGUGGGGAUCAAACAGGAUUA
This 257-nucleotide ribosomal RNA is filed under the name uncultured prokaryote. RNAcentral's name for it is "partial 16S ribosomal RNA". It matches the Rfam family "Bacterial small subunit ribosomal RNA", at positions 524 to 780 of the family's 1533-position model. The record is from RNAcentral.